CCUACGGGGGGCAGCAGUGGGGAAUAUUGCACAAUGGGGGAAACCCUGAUGCAGCGACGCCGCGUGAGCGAUGAAGUAUUUCGGUAUGUAAAGCUCUAUCAGCAGGGAAGAAAAUGACGGUACCUGACUAAGAAGCCCCGGCUAACUACGUGCCAGCAUCCGCGGUAAUACGUAGGGGGCAAGCGUUAUCCGGAUUUACUGGGGGUAAAGGGAGCGUAGACGGCGAUGCAAGCCAGAUGUGAAAGGCCGUGGCUCAACCCCGGGACUGCAUUUGGAACUGUAUAGCUGGAGUGUCGGAGAGGCAGGCGGAAUUCCUAGUGUAGCGGUGAAAUGCGUAGAUAUUAGGAGGAACACCAGUGGCGAAGGCGGCCUGCUGGACGAUGACUGACGUUGAGGCUCGAAAGCGUGGGGAGCAAACAGGAUUAGAUACCCUGGUAGUC
Molecule: ribosomal RNA, 440 nt
Filed under: uncultured bacterium
Lineage: Bacteria
Description: partial 16S ribosomal RNA
Rfam family: Bacterial small subunit ribosomal RNA
Source: RNAcentral